RNAcentral lists this non-coding RNA (45 nucleotides) under Schistosoma margrebowiei. The record is from RNAcentral. Lineage: Eukaryota; Metazoa; Platyhelminthes; Trematoda; Strigeidida; Schistosomatidae.
AUCGGGCUGACGAGUCCCAUAUAGGACGAAACGCGCGUCCUGGAU